This 758-nucleotide ribosomal RNA is filed under the name Penicillium chermesinum. RNAcentral's name for it is "eukaryotic LSU rRNA". The stretch from base 374 to 758 matches the Rfam family "Eukaryotic large subunit ribosomal RNA", at positions 1 to 383 of the family's 3401-position model. The record is from RNAcentral. Lineage: Eukaryota; Fungi; Ascomycota; Eurotiomycetes; Eurotiales; Aspergillaceae.
GACACCCCUGAACGCUGUCUGAAGAUUGCAGUCUGAGCGAUUAUUAAAUUAUUUAAAACUUUCAACAACGGAUCUCUUGGUUCCGGCAUCGAUGAAGAACGCAGCGAAAUGCGAUACGUAAUGUGAAUUGCAGAAUUCAGUGAAUCAUCGAGUCUUUGAACGCACAUUGCGCCCCCUGGUAUUCCGGGGGGCAUGCCUGUCCGAGCGUCAUUUCUGCCCUCAAGCCCGGCUUGUGUGUUGGGCCGCGUCCCCCCGGGGACGGGCCCGAAAGGCAGCGGCGGCACCGCGUCCGGUCCUCGAGCGUAUGGGGCUUUGUCACCCGCUCUUGCAGGCCCGGCCGGCGCCAGCCGACCCCAACCAUUCUUUCUCAGGUUGACCUCGGAUCAGGUAGGGAUACCCGCUGAACUUAAGCAUAUCAAUAAGCGGAGGAAAAGAAACCAACAGGGAUUGCCCCAGUAACGGCGAGUGAAGCGGCAAGAGCUCAAAUUUGAAAGCUGGCCCCCUCGGGGUCCGCAUUGUAAUUUGCAGAGGAUGCUUCGGAGGCAGCCCCCGUCUAAGUACCCUGGAACGGGUCGUCAUAGAGGGUGAGAAUCCCGUACGGGACGGGGUGUCUGCCACCGUGUGAAGCUCCUUCGACGAGUCGAGUUGUUUGGGAAUGCAGCUCUAAAUGGGUGGUAAAUUUCAUCUAAAGCUAAAUAUUGGCCGGAGACCGAUAGCGCACAAGUAGAGUGAUCGAAAGAUGAAAGCACUUUGAAAAG